UAAAAGGAAGCGACGCUCGCUAGCAUCAGUGGACUUUUCGUCUGUAAUGAAACGAAAAAACGGCAGGCCGGUGCUUAUCACCACUCCGGUGCUGGGAUAGAUAACAACGCCGCUAAAGCUUACGAGCACGCGAGCAGAAAAAGCCUCAGUCAAGGGAGCAAAAAUUGACAGACGGUCUGAUUGGCUCGUGAUAAGGACAACUACGACGCUUACCGGUUGUUGUGAUUGGCUGGAAUGAGGAAAUCGCCCCAUGAGUUGUGUGUCCGUGCAGACCGAAUAUCCCACGAAGCGCAUCCUCGCUGACGGCCUCCGGACGAUCGAUUUUGUUUCCCAGGAUGAGAACCGGCACAUUUGAGAUGGUG
Molecule: long non-coding RNA, 362 nt
Organism: Phycodurus eques (leafy seadragon)
Lineage: Eukaryota; Metazoa; Chordata; Actinopteri; Syngnathiformes; Syngnathidae
Exons: 3
Source: RefSeq, a predicted model, not a curated record